RNAcentral lists this ribosomal RNA (254 nucleotides) under uncultured bacterium. Its description in RNAcentral is "partial 16S ribosomal RNA". It matches the Rfam family "Bacterial small subunit ribosomal RNA", at positions 524 to 776 of the family's 1533-position model. The record is from RNAcentral.
UACGUAGGGUGCGAGCGUUGUCCAGAAUUACUGGGCGUAAAGAGCUCGUAGGCGGUCUGUCGCGUCGAUCGUGAAAACUUGGGGCUUAACCCUGAGCUUGCGGUCGAUACGGGCAUGACUGGAGUUCGGCAGGGGAGACUGGAAUUCCUGGUGUAGCGGUGAAAUGCGCAGAUAUCAGGAGGAACACCGGUGGCGAAGGCGGGUCUCUGGGCCGAUACUGACGCUGAGGAGCGAAAGCGUGGGGAGCGAACAGG